RNAcentral lists this ribosomal RNA (253 nucleotides) under uncultured bacterium. Its description in RNAcentral is "partial 16S ribosomal RNA". It matches the Rfam family "Bacterial small subunit ribosomal RNA", at positions 524 to 776 of the family's 1533-position model. The record is from RNAcentral.
UACAGAGGGUGCAAGCGUUAAUCGGAAUGACUGGGCGUAAAGGGCGUGUAGGCGGAUGCUUAAGUUAGAUGUGAAAGCCCUGGGCUUAACCUAGGAACUGCAUCUAAUACUGGGCAACUAGAGUAUGGGAGAGGGAAGUGGAAUUUCCGGUGUAGCGGUGAAAUGCGUAGAUAUCGGAAGGAACACCAGUGGCGAAGGCGGCUUCCUGGCCUAAUACUGACGCUGAGGCGCGAAAGCGUGGGGAGCAAACAGG